This 1492-nucleotide ribosomal RNA is filed under the name Helicobacter pylori. RNAcentral's name for it is "bacterial SSU rRNA". It matches the Rfam family "Bacterial small subunit ribosomal RNA". The record is from RNAcentral. Lineage: Bacteria; Pseudomonadati; Campylobacterota; Epsilonproteobacteria; Campylobacterales; Helicobacteraceae.
AGAGUUUGAUCCUGGCUCAGAGUGAACGCUGGCGGCGUGCCUAAUACAUGCAAGUCGAACGAUGAAGCUUCUAGCUUGCUAGAGUGCUGAUUAGUGGCGCACGGGUGAGUAACGCAUAGGUCAUGUGCCUCUUAGUUUGGGAUAGCCAUUGGAAACGAUGAUUAAUACCAGAUACUCCCUACGGGGGAAAGAUUUAUCGCUAAGAGAUCAGCCUAUGUCCUAUCAGCUUGUUGGUAAGGUAAUGGCUUACCAAGGCUAUGACGGGUAUCCGGCCUGAGAGGGUGAACGGACACACUGGAACUGAGACACGGUCCAGACUCCUACGGGAGGCAGCAGUAGGGAAUAUUGCUCAAUGGGGGAAACCCUGAAGCAGCAACGCCGCGUGGAGGAUGAAGGUUUUAGGAUUGUAAACUCCUUUUGUUAGAGAAGAUAAUGACGGUAUCUAACGAAUAAGCACCGGCUAACUCCGUGCCAGCAGCCGCGGUAAUACGGAGGGUGCAAGCGUUACUCGGAAUCACUGGGCGUAAAGAGCGCGUAGGCGGGAUAGUCAGUCAGGUGUGAAAUCCUAUGGCUUAACCAUAGAACUGCAUUUGAAACUACUAUUCUAGAGUGUGGGAGAGGUAGGUGGAAUUCUUGGUGUAGGGGUAAAAUCCGUAGAGAUCAAGAGGAAUACUCAUUGCGAAGGCGACCUGCUGGAACAUUACUGACGCUGAUUGCGCGAAAGCGUGGGGAGCAAACAGGAUUAGAUACCCUGGUAGUCCACGCCCUAAACGAUGGAUGCUAGUUGUUGGAGGGCUUAGUCUCUCCAGUAAUGCAGCUAACGCAUUAAGCAUCCCGCCUGGGGAGUACGGUCGCAAGAUUAAAACUCAAAGGAAUAGACGGGGACCCGCACAAGCGGUGGAGCAUGUGGUUUAAUUCGAAGAUACACGAAGAACCUUACCUAGGCUUGACAUUGAGAGAAUCCGCUAGAAAUAGUGGAGUGUCUAGCUUGCUAGACCUUGAAAACAGGUGCUGCACGGCUGUCGUCAGCUCGUGUCGUGAGAUGUUGGGUUAAGUCCCGCAACGAGCGCAACCCCCUUUCUUAGUUGCUAACAGGUUAUGCUGAGAACUCUAAGGAUACUGCCUCCGUAAGGAGGAGGAAGGUGGGGACGACGUCAAGUCAUCAUGGCCCUUACGCCUAGGGCUACACACGUGCUACAAUGGGGUGCACAAAGAGAAGCAAUACUGUGAAGUGGAGCCAAUCUUCAAAACACCUCUCAGUUCGGAUUGUAGGCUGCAACUCGCCUGCAUGAAGCUGGAAUCGCUAGUAAUCGCAAAUCAGCCAUGUUGCGGUGAAUACGUUCCCGGGUCUUGUACUCACCGCCCGUCACACCAUGGGAGUUGUGUUUGCCUUAAGUCAGGAUGCUAAAUUGGCUACUGCCCACGGCACACACAGCGACUGGGGUGAAGUCGUAACAAGGUAACCGUAGGUGAACCUGCGGUUGGAUCACCU